UUCUCAUAAAAAUUAUUCUAUUCUAUUUCUCAUUUUUUCGGUGGAUUGUAGUUUGCUACAACUAAUAUGUUGAUUUUAUUAAUACAUUUCACAUUCAACAGCUACAAUAUUUGACAAGGAAAAAUAUCAAUACACUGGUAGUUGGCUGGUUGAAUAAAAAUAUUUUCUCUCUUUAUGUGCAUUGGCGAUGAGAUUUUUGUAUCGUACGGUUGGAUUAUUUGUUCAAGAUCAAUUUAUCGCUGUAAUAUUCGCGCUUCUAAAAUUUUAAUAAAAUAAUUUAAAAAAGGUGAAAAAUAAAUUAGAAAUGAAAAUUAACUGGUAUUUAAUUUAAAGUAAAAUAAUAAAAUUUAAUUUUCUCAAAAAUUAACAAUAAAAAACAUUUAUUCAUUCACAAUAUUUAAAACUAGUGCUCCAGAAAUAUUUUAAUAUCAAAACCAAUAAUAUUAUGUGUAAAAGAGUGUUUAUAAAAUAAGAAAAACCAAAAGAAAAAUUGCAUUUUUUAAUAAUUUCAAAUAUUUUAAAAUUUUUAUAUUGCAUGUGUAAUAUUGUCAAUUUUAAGUGACAUUCUAUAAAAUAUUAUAAGUUCUUUCUAUAAUAAAAUCUAAUAUUAUAAUUUUCAAUAAAGUAAAAAUUAUAAUUCUUAAAAUACGCACACAUUUAAUAAUUCACCCGUCCUGUGUGCAUAAGAGAGAAUGUGUGUGUGUGUGUGUGUUUAAUACCACAUUAAAAGAAUUAUUAAUAAAAUUAAAAAGCGAUAAAUUGUAGAUAGAAUACAAAGCUCCAAAAACCACAUAGCACAACUACAAUAAUAUAAGCAGCAACAACUAUAUCUUUGCAAUAAAAAUAAAAAAUAUCCAGACAUUUGGGAUUUAUGUAUGAUUGUAAUGUAAUAAUAUAAGCAACUACUGAAGAGCAACAAAACAACAAAACCAAAUUUGGAAAUUUUAAUAAUAAAAAACAAUUAUUGAAAUAUUAAAGAUAUAAUUAAAUUUAUUUUGUUUUUGGAUUCAAAUAUAUUAAAUUUUUCGGUUUAAUUAAAUAUAUCAUACUAUUGCUUUAAAAUUUAACAGUAAAUACAAAAUAUUUCAAUGGAUGUUAACAAAAAUUUUGGUUAAAUCGAAUAUCGCAUGAAUAAAAUAUUUAAAGUAUAAUGUAUGUAGUUCUCUAAUAAAUUUUGAGGCAUGAAAAACUACAAAGCAACAAGAAAUAAUCAUUAACAUAAAAACAAGAAAAAAAAACAGCCAGCUGGUUAAUUUUUGUUCAAAGAUAGCCAAAACAAAAUAUGUAUCUGUGUAUGUGUGUGCAUGUAAUUUUUUAGUAUUAAGGCUUACGCAUGUCGCUUUACAUAUAUAAAUAGCAACAAUAAAUAUUAAACUUGCAACAAAAUUUGUAAUAACAAAACAAAAACAAAAAAAUUAUAAAGUGAAAUAAAAGCGGCGCUACAAAAAUAUUUUUUUAUUCAAUUUUGUUUGCUAUAAGAAAAAUUAACAAAGAAAUUACAAAAAUACAUAUUUUAAUAUUUUAUUUUUAAUAUUAUAAUCUACUAUUUGUAUACAAUGAUAUAAUAUUGCAAAAAAAAAUAAAUAAGAAAAAUUUUAUUCGGCCUUUUGGUUCUAAGUGAUAUAAGAGAGCACAAGUGUUAUAUUUAUGACCAAUAACUUAAAUUUUAUAUGCAUCAACAAAACAAAAAUAAAUCAGUUGUUCUCUUAAUACUUGUUUCUUAUAUACACAAACACACAAUAUACAAGUAGAACACAAUCGUUAACAAAAAAACUCUUGUUCUCUUCAAGUGUAGAAUACCAUUUAAGUAUUUCAACAAAUUCUGAUAGCUACAAGGAAAAUAUUAAAAAACAAAACGCUUCAAGAAAAAAAAAACAA
Long non-coding RNA from Condylostylus longicornis, 1878 nucleotides. RefSeq lists it as uncharacterized. The record is from RefSeq and is a predicted model, not a curated record. The transcript has 2 exons. NCBI's taxonomy places the organism in Eukaryota, Metazoa, Arthropoda, Insecta, Diptera, Dolichopodidae.